Molecule: ribosomal RNA, 208 nt
Filed under: uncultured bacterium
Lineage: Bacteria
Description: partial 16S ribosomal RNA
Rfam family: Bacterial small subunit ribosomal RNA
Source: RNAcentral
UUGCGUAGGUGGCAGAGUAAGUGAAUAGUGAAAGCGUGCGGCUCAACCGCAUAUACAUUAUUUAAACUGCUCAGCUUGAAGAUGAGAGAGGUCACUGGAAUUCCAAGUGUAGGAGUGAAAUCCGUAGAUAUUUGGAGGAACACCGAUGGCGUAGGCAGGUGACUGGCUCAUUCUUGACACUAAGGCACGAAAGCGUGGGGAGCAAACA